This 191-nucleotide small nuclear RNA is filed under the name Jaculus jaculus (lesser Egyptian jerboa). Its description in RNAcentral is "U2 spliceosomal RNA (ENSJJAG00000004692.1)". It matches the Rfam family "U2 spliceosomal RNA". Rfam says of the family: U2 is a small nuclear RNA (snRNA) component of the spliceosome (involved in pre-mRNA splicing). Lineage: Eukaryota; Metazoa; Chordata; Mammalia; Rodentia; Dipodidae. The record is from Rfam by way of RNAcentral.
AUCACUUCUCAGCCUUUUGGCUAAUAUCAAGUGUAAUAUCUGUUCUUAUCAGUUAAAUAUCUGAUAUGUCUUCUAUCUGAGGACAUUAUAUUAAAUGGAUUUUUGGAGCUUGGAGUUGGAAUAGGAGCUUACUCCAUCCACUCCAUGCAUCGACCUGGUAUUGCUGUACUUCCAGGAAUGGUGCACCCCCU